UAUACCAGCGGAUGUGUUUGUACCUCAAGGACAGCAUUCUUUAUUUUCAAUAAGCACCGGAGUUCCAGUGAAUAACAAUAAAUAUCAAAUAGAAGAAAACAGCUUUUCAGAGAGAUGCCAAUGUGAGAGAGUCUGAAAGGUUAUGGAUUCACACCUAUGUGACUAGACUUGUUUAAUGAUUGUCAGAAUCCGAUGAAGCAAAAGAGAGGUUUAAAAAUAAAACAGCACAAGAUUACA
Molecule: long non-coding RNA, 237 nt
Organism: Ornithorhynchus anatinus (platypus)
Lineage: Eukaryota; Metazoa; Chordata; Mammalia; Monotremata; Ornithorhynchidae
Exons: 2
Source: RefSeq, a predicted model, not a curated record